RNAcentral lists this small RNA (286 nucleotides) under Magnetococcus marinus MC-1. RNAcentral's name for it is "Magnetococcus sp. MC-1 5' ureB small RNA". It matches the Rfam family "5' ureB small RNA". The record is from Rfam by way of RNAcentral. Lineage: Bacteria; Pseudomonadati; Pseudomonadota; Magnetococcia; Magnetococcales; Magnetococcaceae.
CAUCCUCAAUCUGUUGUGGGCAGAUCCAGUGAAUAUGGGCGUCAAUGCCCCCAGCGGUGAGAAUACGCCCCUCCCCGGCAAUGGCCUCGGUACCGGGGCCGAUUAUAAUAUCCACAUUGGGCUGCACAUCGGGGUUGCCCGCUUUGCCAAUGGCGCAGAUACGACCAUCCUUAAUACCCACAUCCGCUUUGACAAUCCCCCAGUGAUCCACAAUCAGGGCGUUGGUGAUCACCGUAUCCACCGCCCCCUCCUGACGGCUGUGCUGGGACUGCCCCAUGCCAUCACG